GAAGAUAUGUUACCAGUGUAAUGAAGUUAUGCCUCUGCAGAUGCUUGCAGUACACAUCAAUACGUGCAAAGGAAAAUUCUCUCCUGAUGAGACUGAUGAUGAGGAAUCUGAGUUAUGCAUUGUGAAAAGCAAAUGCAAGGUUAUUUGUCCAAUAUGCACUAAGGACUUUCUUGAAGAUGAGAUCACAGUCCAC
This is a long non-coding RNA of Oreochromis niloticus (Nile tilapia), 193 nucleotides long. RefSeq lists it as uncharacterized. Lineage: Eukaryota; Metazoa; Chordata; Actinopteri; Cichliformes; Cichlidae. The transcript is spliced from 3 exons. The record is from RefSeq and is a predicted model, not a curated record.